Long non-coding RNA from Paramacrobiotus metropolitanus, 373 nucleotides. RefSeq lists it as uncharacterized. The record is from RefSeq and is a predicted model, not a curated record. The transcript is spliced from 3 exons. NCBI's taxonomy places the organism in Eukaryota, Metazoa, Tardigrada, Eutardigrada, Parachela, Macrobiotidae.
UUUGGGGACACCGUUAACACAGCCAGCCGGAUGGAAUCGACUGGAACCGCUGGUAAAGUCCACGUUAGCCCGACGACAUACGGCCUGGCUGCCCAUAAUCCCGCUCUGAAUUUUAUCAGUCGUGGGGCAAUCAAUGUGAAAGGCAAGGGCUCUGUGAAUACGUACUGGCUGGAGGCAGUCUUCGAGAACCAGGAGAAAGUUUAAAGAACGAUCAAACUGCGCAGUGGACUUUUCAUCCACGCCAUCUUAAACACAUUUCCAUACUACGCAAUGACCGGCGAAUUUCCAUACUAUGCUAGUGUAAUUGUAAAGAACGAAUGAGAAUCUCUGAGCCUGUUUCGGAUUGGUGCGAGUCACGGAACUCAGCGGAAGG